Molecule: long non-coding RNA, 599 nt
Filed under: Calidris pugnax (ruff)
Lineage: Eukaryota; Metazoa; Chordata; Aves; Charadriiformes; Scolopacidae
Description: lncRNA (ENSCPUG00000000684.1)
Source: RNAcentral
CUAGGGCACCCCAGUCCCUGCCAGGUGUCCAUCACCCCCCAGAAAGCGGUGGUGGAGUUGGGCACCCCCUUCCUCUUCAACUGCACCAGUUCCUGCCCCAAUUCCAGUCGCUUGGACUGGGAGGUCCCAGUUACCAAACUGGGGGGGCGGGGACCCGGUUGGGUGUCCCUCGAUGUCCCCAACGUCACCGACUGGCACUUGGACCUUCAAUGUUACGCCCAUUUCGGGGGGCACCGCGUCGUCGCCAACGCCACCCUCCACGCUUACACUGCCCCCCACCACGUCCAAGUGUGGGCAUCGCACAGCCUCUUCACCACCGGUGACAACCUGACGGUGACGUGUCGGGCAGAGGGCAACCCCCCACCAGAGCUGCGCUGGGAGAUGCCCACCAAUGCCAACCUGGAGGUGAGGGAUGGUGGCACCAACGUCAUCGUCCCGGAUGCCCAACGGGAGCACGGUGGCACCUACCGCUGUCUGGCCAAGAACCGCUUUGGCACCGUCACUGCCAGCAUCGACGUCCUCUUCCAAGGAUCCUCCAGCAGCCUCCUCAUCCCGGUGGUGGUGACCUUGGUGGUGAUCAUCCUCCUGGUCCUUCUCGC